AUCACUUCUCGGCCUUUUGGCUAAGAUCAAGUGUAGACUUUGCCCAGUAAAAACACAAGAAAAUUUCAAUAACCAGUUGUAACUAGAGUAGUCAGAACAGUGCUUGGCACAUAGUAAACUCUCAGUUGUUCUGCAGAAACAAAUCAGCUUCUGAAACAAACACCCAUG
RNAcentral lists this small nuclear RNA (168 nucleotides) under Mus musculus (house mouse). RNAcentral describes it as "U2 spliceosomal RNA". It matches the Rfam family "U2 spliceosomal RNA". Rfam says of the family: U2 is a small nuclear RNA (snRNA) component of the spliceosome (involved in pre-mRNA splicing). Complementary binding between U2 snRNA (in an area lying towards the 5' end but 3' to hairpin I) and the branchpoint sequence (BPS) of the intron results the bulging out of an unpaired adenosine, on the BPS, which initiates a nucleophilic attack at the intronic 5' splice site, thus starting the first of two transesterification reactions that mediate splicing. The record is from Rfam by way of RNAcentral. Lineage: Eukaryota; Metazoa; Chordata; Mammalia; Rodentia; Muridae.